GGGGGGGGGGUGUAUAAGGUUUGGAUUUUCAGAAGUUAAAAGAGGAAACGUUUUGGAGAGAAAAUUUCAGAGAUUUUCGGAGAAGAAAAAACAAGAAAAAAAGGUUCUAGGUUUUCUUUCCUUUUUUUUUUUGAAAUUUUCAGGUUUUUCGUUUCAGUUUAAAUUCCAAGAAAACACAAAAAAUACUCGAAUUUUCUUCUUUCUAUUUGAGUUCAAUUCUCUUGUUUCAAAAAUGGAUUGCGUUUGAGGCGUUUGGAGUUGACGAACGUGAAGUGUCAUUUGGGGUUCAAGCUCUUGAUUUCUGGUUCAGUUUUGGUCGUACUCAUCCAAUUCUAAUUCAUUGCCGGAUUCUCUUGAUUGUAUAUCCGAAGCCGAAUUUAUUGAAAAGAUUUUCAUCUCAGGUUCAUCCCUUGCUUUUUUUAUUAUCUUAUUUUGGGUGUUGAUUUGAAUGUGAUAAGAGCCCUGGUUAAUUAGCUUUGGGGGUUUGUUUAAGAGUUAGGUUAAAUAAAAUAAUCAGGAAGUGAUUUAAGAGGGUGUGUGGUACAGUUUACAAAUGCUGAUGAAAAUUUUGGUUCAUGUCUGCUUGGUUCUAUGUUAAAAGAUUGGAGUAACUGACUUUAUCUUUGAAGAUUAGGCUUAAUACUAAUGCUUCAGUUAUUUUUCAUUUUGAAGAAAUCCUGUUUGUGUUCUGGUGCCAUGGAAUGCUUAAUUAGUUAAUGAUUUUGGACAUUAUAGGCUAGCUUGUUAUUAACCUGAUCUAAUGAACUAGGUGUAUAAAUGCAUUUUACGUUCAUUGUUAAGUCCAGAGGGUUGCUCUGAUGGUAACCAACCUCCACUUCCAACUAAGAGAUUGUGAGUUCGAAUCACCCCAAGAGCAAGGGGAGUUUUUGGAGGGAAGGAUACCGGGGUCUAUUGAAAACAGCCUCUACCUUCAUGGUAGGGGUAAGGUCUGCGUACACACUACCCUCCCCAUACCCCACUAGUAGAUUAUACUGGGUUGUUGUUGUUGUUAAUAUCUGUCAAGUUGGUUUCCCCUCUAACAUGACAAUAGCUAUC
This 1056-nucleotide long non-coding RNA is filed under the name Nicotiana tabacum (common tobacco). RNAcentral describes it as "long non-coding RNA (NTAB_LNC007422)". The record is from RNAcentral. Lineage: Eukaryota; Viridiplantae; Streptophyta; Magnoliopsida; Solanales; Solanaceae.